Molecule: ribosomal RNA, 775 nt
Filed under: uncultured Neocallimastigales
Lineage: Eukaryota; Fungi; Neocallimastigomycota; Neocallimastigomycetes; Neocallimastigales
Description: partial large subunit ribosomal RNA
Rfam family: Eukaryotic large subunit ribosomal RNA
Source: RNAcentral
UAUGUUGAUCGUCUCUCGCAUAUCAAUAAGCGGAGGAAAAGAAACUAACAAGGAUUCCCCUAGUAACGGCGAGUGAAGCGGGAAGAGCUCAAAUUUGAAAUCUUAAAGGGUUUCCCUUUACGAAUUGUAGUUUAAAGAAGUGUUUUCUGUUGAGGUUUUGGUAAAAGUUCUUUGGAAUAGGACAUCAUAGAGGGUGAGAAUCCCGUAUUUGACCUUUACUUUCAACUUUGUGAUACACUUUCAAAGAGUCGGAUUGUUUGGGAAUGCAGUCCAAAAUGGGUGGUAAAUUUCAUCUAAAGCUAAAUAUUGGCGAGAGACCGAUAGCGAACAAGUACCGUGAGGGAAAGAUGAAAAGAACUUUGAAAAGAGAGUUAAACAGUACGUGAAAUUGUCAAAAGGGAAGCGUUUGACACCAGUGUUGUUUUUCUGAAAAUCAAUUAAAGAACUGUUUAUGCUAAGCUGUUUAGACUUUAUCAGCUAUCUGUUUAGUUUUGAGCUUUUCUUUAAUGCACUUUUCAGUUAACAAGUCAACAUCAAUUUCUUUUGCUGUAAAAAAGCUUGAGGAAGGUGGCUUGAGAUUCGUCUUAAGUGUUUAUAGCCUCUUGCCUAUGCAGUCGGAGAGAUUGAGGUCUGCAGCGUAGAUCCUUCGGGGCUAAAUGCAUUUGUGCUAAGUUAUAGCAUUUUAUAGACAACUUGUUGACUAUGAUUUGUCUUGUAGCUUACUCGCUUAUGUUAUUUUACCUACGCUUAGGAUGUUGAACGCGCACAGAGUCUC